UGGGGAAUUGUUCACAAUGGGCGCAAGCCUGAUGACGCAACGCCGCGUGGGGGAUGAAGGUCUUCGGAUUGUAAACCCCUGUCGAAUGGGACGAAAGACUCGCGAGUUAAUACUUCGCGGGAGUGACGGUACCGUUAAAGGAAGCCACGGCUAACUCUGUGCCAGCAGCCGCGGUAAUACAGAGGUGGCAAGCGUUGUUCGGAAUUACUGGGCGUAAAGGGCGCGUAGGCGGCCUACUAAGUCAGACGUGAAAUCCCCCGGCUUAACCUGGGAACUGCGUCUGAUACUGGAAGGCUUGAGUAUGGGAGAGGGAUGUAGAAUUCCGGGUGUAGCGGUGAAAUGCGUAGAUAUCCGGAGGAACACCAGUGGCGAAGGCGGCUCCCUGGACCCAAACUGACGCUGAGGCACGAAAGCGUGGGUAGCAAACAGGAUUAGAUACCCUUGUAGUCCCUGAGCGGGCUGGCAAGGCGCAU
RNAcentral lists this ribosomal RNA (473 nucleotides) under uncultured bacterium. RNAcentral's name for it is "bacterial SSU rRNA". It matches the Rfam family "Bacterial small subunit ribosomal RNA", at positions 355 to 825 of the family's 1533-position model. The record is from RNAcentral.